CCUACGGGUGGCAGCAGUCGAGAAUCAUUCACAAUGGGGGAAACCCUGAUGGUGCGACGCCGCGUGGGGGAAUGAAGGUCUUCGGAUUGUAAACCCCUGUCAUGUGGGAGCAAAUUAAAAAGAUAGUACCACAAGAGGAAGAGACGGCUAACUCUGUGUCAGCAGCCGCGGUAAUACAGAGGUCUCAAGCGUUGUUCGGAAUCACUGGGCGUAAGGCGUGCGUAGGCUGUUUCGUAAGUCGUGUGUGAAAGGCGCGGGCUCAACCCGCGGACGGCACAUGAUACUGCGAGACUAGAGUAAUGGAGGGGGAACCGGAAUUCUCGGUGUAGCAGUGAAAUGCGUAGAUAUCGAGAGGAACACUCGUGGCGAAGGCGGGUUCCUGGACAUUAACUGACGCUGAGGCACGAAGGCCAGGGGAGCGAAAGGGAUUAGAUACCCCUGUAGUC
RNAcentral lists this ribosomal RNA (446 nucleotides) under uncultured bacterium. Its description in RNAcentral is "partial 16S ribosomal RNA". It matches the Rfam family "Bacterial small subunit ribosomal RNA", at positions 338 to 795 of the family's 1533-position model. The record is from RNAcentral.